AGAGUUUGAUCAUGGCUCAGAUUGAACGCUGGCGGCAUGCCUUACACAUGCAAGUCGAACGGUAACAGGUCUUCGGAUGCUGACGAGUGGCGAACGGGUGAGUAAUACAUCGGAACGUGCCCGAUCGUGGGGGAUAACGAGGCGAAAGCUUUGCUAAUACCGCAUACGAUCUACGGAUGAAAGCGGGGGAUCUUCGGACCUCGCGCGGACGGAGCGGCCGAUGGCAGAUUAGGUAGUUGGUGGGAUAAAAGCUUACCAAGCCGACGAUCUGUAGCUGGUCUGAGAGGAUGAUCAGCCACACUGGGACUGAGACACGGCCCAGACUCCUACGAGAGGCAGCAGUGGGGAAUUUUGGACAAUGGGCGAAAGCCUGAUCCAGCCAUGCCGCGUGCAGGAUGAAGGCCUUCGGGUUGUAAACUGCUUUUGUACGGAACGAAAAGCCUCUUUCUAAUAAAGAGGGGUCAUGACGGUACCGUAAGAAUAAGCACCGGCUAACUACGUGCCAGCAGCCGCGGUAAUACGUAGGGUGCAAGCGUUAAUCGGAAUUACUGGGCGUAAAGCGUGCGCAGGCGGUUUUGUAAGACAGAGGUGAAAUCCCCGGGCUCAACCUGGGAACUGCCUUUGUGACUGCAAGGCUGGAGUGCGGCAGANGGGGAUGGAAUUCCGCGUGUAGCAGUGAAAUGCGUAGAUAUGCGGAGGAACACCGAUGGCGAAGGCAAUCCCCUGGGCCUGCACUGACGCUCAUGCACGAAAGCGUGGGGAGCAAACAGGAUUAGAUACCCUGGUA
This 787-nucleotide ribosomal RNA is filed under the name uncultured bacterium. RNAcentral describes it as "bacterial SSU rRNA". It matches the Rfam family "Bacterial small subunit ribosomal RNA", at positions 8 to 792 of the family's 1533-position model. The record is from RNAcentral.